Molecule: long non-coding RNA, 425 nt
Organism: Arabidopsis lyrata subsp. lyrata
Lineage: Eukaryota; Viridiplantae; Streptophyta; Magnoliopsida; Brassicales; Brassicaceae
Exons: 2
Source: RefSeq, a predicted model, not a curated record
GAUGAGCAGCUGAAUAAGCUUAAAGGAGAGUGGGGAGAAGAGGUGCAUAAUGAAGUUAAAACAGAUCUUGAGGAGAUGAAUGAGUAUAAUGCAAGUGGUCGGUACACAAAUCUAGAACUGUGGAACUUCAAAGAAGGAAGAAAAGCAAUACUGAAGGAAGUGUUUAGUUUCAUUUUAGACGACAUCAAAACUCUGAAACGCAAAAGAACCUGAAGGAUGGAGGAAGUGAAAGAAAAAGAAGGAUAAAUGGUCAAGUCUUAUGUCUAUUAAAAAAUGAGAAUGGAUGUUAAAUAAUAAGGAUGCUCAUAUGCUCUCUGUAUCGAGACUACUUUCUUCCACUUGUAUCUUUGAAAGAUUUCGAGCGGUUUAUUGAACCAACGCUUUAUUGAUAACAUUCUGGUUUAUCUUAUAACAUGAUGGUUGAU